This 253-nucleotide ribosomal RNA is filed under the name uncultured bacterium. Its description in RNAcentral is "partial 16S ribosomal RNA". It matches the Rfam family "Bacterial small subunit ribosomal RNA", at positions 524 to 776 of the family's 1533-position model. The record is from RNAcentral.
UACGUAGGGGGCUAGCGUUGUCCGGAAUCAUUGGGCGUAAAGCGCGUGUAGGCGGUCCGGUAAGUCCGCUGUGAAAGUCGAGGGCUCAACCCUCGAAUGCCGGUGGAUACUGUCGGGCUUGAGUACGGGAGAGGCGAGUGGAAUUCCUGGUGUAGCGGUGAAAUGCGCAGAUAUCAGGAGGAACACCGAUUGCGAAGGCAGCUCGCUGGAACGUUACUGACGCUGAGACGCGAAGGCGUGGGGAGCAAAAAGG